AAUGAACGCUGGCGGCAGGCUUAACACAUGCAAGUCGAACGGAUCCUUCGGGAUUAGUGGCAGACGGGUGAGUAACGCGUGGGAACGUUCCCUUUGCUACGGAAUAACUCAGGGAAACUUGAGCUAAUACCGUAUGUGCCCUACGGGGGAAAGAUUUAUCGGCAAAGGAUAGGCCCGCGUUGGAUUAGCUAGUUGGUGGGGUAAUGGCCUACCAAGGCGACGAUCCAUAGCUGGUCUGAGAGGAUGAUCAGCCACACUGAGACGAAGACACGGCCCAGACUCCUACGGGAGGCAGCAGUGGGGAAUAUUGGACAAUGGGCUCAAGCCUGAUCCAGCCAUGCCGCGUGAGUGAUGAAGGUCUUAAGAUUGUAAAGCUCUUUCACCGGUGAAGAUAAUGACGGUAGCCGAAGAAGAAGCCCCGGCUAACUUCGUG
RNAcentral lists this ribosomal RNA (433 nucleotides) under uncultured bacterium. RNAcentral describes it as "partial 16S ribosomal RNA". It matches the Rfam family "Bacterial small subunit ribosomal RNA", at positions 29 to 507 of the family's 1533-position model. The record is from RNAcentral.